This 439-nucleotide ribosomal RNA is filed under the name uncultured bacterium. RNAcentral's name for it is "partial 16S ribosomal RNA". It matches the Rfam family "Bacterial small subunit ribosomal RNA", at positions 338 to 795 of the family's 1533-position model. The record is from RNAcentral.
CCUACGGGAGGCAGCAGUGGGGAAUAUUGCACAAUGGGGGAAACCCUGAUGCAGCGACGCCGCGUGAUGGACGAAGUAUUUCGGUACGUAAACUUCUAUCAGCAGGGAAGAAAAUGACGGUACCUGACCAAGAAGCCCCGGCUAACUACGUGCCAGCCGCCGCGGUAAUACGUAGGGGGCAAGCGGUAUCAGGAUUUAUUGGGUUAAAAGGGUGGGCAGGCGGAUUUUUAAGUCAGCGGUCAAAUCGUGGGGCUCAACCCCAUCCAGCCGUUGAAACUGGGGAUCUAGAGUGUGCGAGAGGUAUGCGGAAUGCGUGGUGUAGCGGUGAAAUGCAUAGAUAUCACGCAGAACCCCGAUUGCGAAGGCAGCAUACCGGUGCACAACUGACGCUCAGGCACGAAAGCGUGGGUAUCGAACAGGAUUAGAUACCCGGGUAGUC